This 229-nucleotide ribosomal RNA is filed under the name uncultured bacterium. Its description in RNAcentral is "partial 16S ribosomal RNA". It matches the Rfam family "Bacterial small subunit ribosomal RNA", at positions 568 to 796 of the family's 1533-position model. The record is from RNAcentral.
UGCGCAGGCGGGAAAUUAAGUCAGUGGUGAAAUCCUGCAGCUUAACUGUAGAAUUGCCAUUGAUACUGAUUUUCUUGAGUGCAGUUGAGGUGGGCGGAAUGUGUAAUGUAGCGGUGAAAUGCUUAGAUAUUACACAGAACACCGAUUGCGUAGGCAGCUCACUAAACUGUUACUGACGCUCAGGCACGAAAGCGUGGGGAGCGAACAGGAUCAGAUACCCUGGUAGUCC